AUACGUAGGUGACAAGCGUUAUCCGGAUUUACUGGGCGUAAAGGGCGUGUAGGCGGUCUUGCAAGUCAGAAGUGAAAUUCCUGAGCUACAAUAGGGCGCUGCUUCUGAAACUGCAGGACUUGAGUGCUGGAGGGGAUAGCGGAUUUCCUUGUGUAGCGGUGAAAUGCGUAGAUAUAAGGAAGAACACCAGUGGCGAAGGCGGUCUACUGGACAGUAACUGACGCUGAGGCGCGAAAGCGUGGGGAGCAAACAGGAUUAGAUACCCUGGUAGUCCACGCUGUAAACGAUGAAUACUAGGUGUGGGGGGACUGACCCCCUCCGUGCCGCAGUUAACACAAUAAGUAUUUCACCUGGGGAGUACGGCCGCAAGGUUGAAACUCAAAUGAAUUGGCGGGG
RNAcentral lists this ribosomal RNA (396 nucleotides) under uncultured bacterium. Its description in RNAcentral is "partial 16S ribosomal RNA". It matches the Rfam family "Bacterial small subunit ribosomal RNA", at positions 523 to 918 of the family's 1533-position model. The record is from RNAcentral.